Molecule: ribosomal RNA, 301 nt
Filed under: uncultured bacterium
Lineage: Bacteria
Description: partial 16S ribosomal RNA
Rfam family: Bacterial small subunit ribosomal RNA
Source: RNAcentral
CAGUAGCCGCGGUAAAACGGAGGGGGCUAGCGUUGUUCGGAAUUACUGGGCGUAAAGCGCACGUAGGCGGCUUGGUAAGUUAGAGGUGAAAGCCUGGAGCUCAACUCCAGAAUUGCCUUUAAGACUGCCGAGCUAGCAGGUGAGAGAGGUAAGUGGAAUUCCGAGUGUAGAGGUGAAAUUCGUAGAUAUUCGGAAGAACACCAGUGGCGAAGGCGGCUUACUGGCUCAUACUGGACGCUGAGGUGCGAAAGCGUGGGGAGCAAACAGGAUUAGAUACCCCAGUAGUCCCUGUCUCUUAUAC